CAGAGGUGGCAAGCGUUGUUCGGAAUUACUGGGCGUAAAGGGCGCGUAGGCGGCCUUCUAAGUCAGACGUGAAAUCCCCAGGCUUAACUUGGGAACUGCGUCUGAUACUGGAGGGCUCGAGUGCGGGAGAGGGAUGUGGAAUUCCAGGUGUAGCGGUGAAAUGCGUAGAUAUCUGGAGAAACACCGGUGGCGAAGGCGGCAUCCUGGACCGACACUGACGCUGAGGCGCGAAAGCUAGGGGAGCAAACGGGAUUAGAUACCCCGGUAGUCCUAGCCCUAAACGAUGAGUGCUUGGUGUGGCGGGUAUCGAUCCCUGCCGUGCCGAAGCUAACGCAUUAAGCACUCCGCCUGGGGAGUACGGUCGCAAGGCUG
This 372-nucleotide ribosomal RNA is filed under the name uncultured organism. RNAcentral's name for it is "bacterial SSU rRNA". It matches the Rfam family "Bacterial small subunit ribosomal RNA", at positions 526 to 896 of the family's 1533-position model. The record is from RNAcentral.